UGUCCAGUUUUCCUCGGCAGUUAGCUGCCGCCGGUUCACUAAAAACUUCGGCAGUUAACUGCCGAAGGGCAU
This 72-nucleotide microRNA precursor is filed under the name Medicago truncatula (barrel medic). Its description in RNAcentral is "MIR2629 microRNA precursor family". It matches the Rfam family "MIR2629 microRNA precursor family". Lineage: Eukaryota; Viridiplantae; Streptophyta; Magnoliopsida; Fabales; Fabaceae. The record is from Rfam by way of RNAcentral.